AACUGAACCAUGUAGGCACCCAUUCUUGUACAGUCUUAACUUGUGGAAUCUGCAGUAACUCUGGGUGGUUAGAGUCAGAACUCAGUUGAAUUCUGGAACACUUGGAAAAGUGGCUUUGGAAAAGAUACUGUAUUUGGUGUCAGGAGGCAAAAAACCUUUCAUCUGAUGUCAAAAGUGUUGUGAAUAAAAAUAACUCACAGGAAACAACUAGCUACCAUACUGUGAUGAAAUGCAAACUCGUUUUCACAGAGAGAUCACCUGGAAGGGUUCCUGUGGACAGCUGGGGAUCUUUGAUUGCAAGCUAUAGAAACUAACAGGAGUGCUCCCUACCAUGUCCUGCCCUCAAUACGGGAAGAAUAUUGGCUGAUUCGCAGAAUCAAAGGAAAACAGAACCACCUUAACCUUGGGAGAAAGAAAAACCAGAACUCUGGGGAUUUUUAGAAAUGUUUAUAUAUGGCCUCUUUGAUAUGACAAUUGGAACAUUUAACUCCAAGGGCCUUCCUUCUACCCAGGUGUCAUUCUCAAGAUUCAGAUUCCUGGCAGAGACAGAAUCUGGUUGAACCAAGUACAGUCAUCUGCGUAAUCCUUCUAGAGCACAGCGACUGUGAUGGAUAGUGACCAAGAUCCAGAUGAUUCUACCGUAAUAUGGAAUGAGCAAUAGUUGAAUUUGUUUCUAAAGUAUCUUGUUAAAUUGUUUACCCCCUGAUGAAGAGUAAUAGGAUUUUUCAAGCAGAGGGAUCUGGAGAAGAAGCAGAGAAAUGACCAUUCUUAUUAGGAUGGAGAGGCACAUCAUUUCAGUCUUCAUUAGUAACUGAGUAUUGAUUAUACUCUCAUUAACUGUCCCCCCCCUUCUAUUUACAGACCUGUUCACUGUGAUGAAUUUUAUGGUUUGGUCAAUCUUACAUCAGACUAUACCUACCUCCUGAAUAAACAAAUAUGGAAAUGAAUUAUUAUGAACACAAGUUGGAAGUAGUACAUUCAUAGCUAUAGUUAAUUCAAAGUAAAUUUGGUUUAUAAAAUUCCAAGUUAUAAUAAGUAAAUUUUAAUACAUACCACUUAAAGAUUUUUUCAAAUUAAAUUUCAUGACCUACAAACUUUCUUAUGAAAUCACAUAAUGUUUUGGAUUAAAUGUUGUAUUAUUCCACUUAGAAAUCCUUUUAGAAAGUUCUCUUUCUCUAAGUGCUAUAAUAUCGACUGGUCAGUGUUGAGCUCAAAGUAGUUGCAGAGAAUCAAUAUUGGCUUAGUUACAACUUGGCAAAGCCUGGGAGGUAACCGAAUUAGAGCUAUUGGACUAGAAAAACCAUUCAAAGAUAAAAGCCUUUAAAAAAAUUAUGGCAAAUGCAAGACAUGUUAAAUUCUAACAAAAUAAUGUAAAAUUUCUUCCACAAGAACUCUCAAGCCUUUUUGCACAUAUUGUUAUUAAAAAUCAUCUGCAAAAGACAAAAGGAUCAUGAUUGUGCUCAAGACCCCCAAAUGUUAAAUCACUUGCCUAGAGUCACACAGUAAUUAGUGUGAAAGUUUGGGCAAGAAUUUUUUCAUCCUAUGUUUGAGCUCUUAUGCAAUGAAUGUUGAAUAGAAAACUCUAAUGAUUAAUAGUAACAUACAGAUGACCAUUAAAGAAAUUAAACCCAAUCCCCCCAAAUUGCAGAUAAUUGCACCUAUACUUUCUACUCUUCUCUAUAUGUUAUUUUUACAUUUUUGCUAUUCAUGCACACAUAUCAUUCUGUGAUCUACAUUUUUCUUUGAUUCCUCAGUAUAAUCUUCCUAUCUUUCUCCUCAUUUUGGACACAAGAAACCAACCUAAUACCUCUCACUUCAGAAUGCUCAUGUGGACAUUUGCAUAUUAAUCCAGUAAGACUUAGUUCAUCCUCCCUUCCCAGACAAAGGCACAUCUUCUGUUCUCUACUUAGCCCUAAAGUACUAAGUGGGCACAUGACUUGAAAAUUAAUGUGCCAGUUCAUCUAGUGCAAAAAGAAUAACUUAAUACUCCUCUUGGUUAGUAAAAUCAAGGUUACAGAAACAUUCAUGAAAUGAAAUACUGGUCUUCUAAUUGGCAAUAGAAUGUCUGCUACCACAUUUCAUCUUCUCAUUUUAAUUGCAAAUGAAUAGAGCCAGACUACUGAUGUUUGAAUAUGUUUUUCUUUGCAUAUAGUGCUUCCAGAAAACAAACAAAUCACUAUUCUGUUAUAAAUCGCAUACUCAGAGAGGUAUGUGAAAAUUCUAAAGUAUAAAUUGUGAAUAGCAGGAUGUUGAAUUAGGAUUACUGUACCUGGGAAAGUUCUGAGGUAGUAUUUAAUGAUCAAAUGCAUUACUGAAUAUCAUUUGGAAUGGGUAUGCUUUUCUUUUUUUAACUUAAUGAAAAAGAGGAAACUUCUGGUACAGAGCAUGCAUGUAACAGCAAUGGCUAUCAUUGAUUGAGUGUAGUGCCAGGCACUGCGCUAAGUGCUUUCCGCAUAUUAUUUUAUUUAAUUCUCAUGAAGAAAUGAUAGAGUAGGCACCAUUAUUUUUAUAGAAGAGGGAACAAACCUUAGAGAGAUAUGAAACUAGUAACAGGUAAAUAGGGCUGGGACUUAAACUUUAUGGGGCUGUCUGAUUGCAAAGCUCAUGCCCUUAACUGUUAUGCAUCUUAUUUUGACAAAUGAAUGCAUUUUAUGAAUGAAAGAAUGAAUAACGGUUAUAUUAUAAGUAGGAAUAGAAAGGUAAUUAAAUGCAAGUCACAGAAUAACUGUGGCGUAACCAAGGAAGACAUUGAAUCAUUUCACGUAACAAGAAAGUUGGGGAGAUUUGGAGUUAAGCAGACUCUUGCUUUUUUUUUUCUUAGGAUUUUAUUUUAUUUUUUAAAAAAGAUUUUAUUUAUUUAUUCAUG
This is a long non-coding RNA of Canis lupus familiaris (dog), 2866 nucleotides long. RefSeq lists it as uncharacterized. NCBI's taxonomy places the organism in Eukaryota, Metazoa, Chordata, Mammalia, Carnivora, Canidae. The transcript has 3 exons. The record is from RefSeq and is a predicted model, not a curated record.